GCACCAAAUGAUGUGAAUAUUUUGAAAAGAGUUCAAAAAGUCAUGUAUAGUAAUGUGUCUUCUUCUAGGUCUUUAAUUAGAUGUAGUACUUAAGAGGAUUGAUUUUGCCAUCUAAAAAUGGUUAGCGGCGCAGUUUGUUACACGUUUGUCUUCAAUUCAAUUUUUUGGAUGUUAAUCUUCCAUUUUUUGUAUUUCUAAGGAUACAUGUUAGUCAAAC
RNAcentral lists this long non-coding RNA (217 nucleotides) under Trifolium pratense (red clover). Its description in RNAcentral is "long non-coding RNA (TPRA_LNC001990)". The record is from RNAcentral. Lineage: Eukaryota; Viridiplantae; Streptophyta; Magnoliopsida; Fabales; Fabaceae.